Molecule: long non-coding RNA, 996 nt
Organism: Erinaceus europaeus (western European hedgehog)
Lineage: Eukaryota; Metazoa; Chordata; Mammalia; Eulipotyphla; Erinaceidae
Exons: 4
Source: RefSeq, a predicted model, not a curated record
GCCCUGUGUUGUGUGUGAGAGCCAUCACAGAUCAGAGCCUGCAGCUGGAUUGAUCAUGGAGUCUCAUGGCUGCCUGGGUGGGGUGUGACUUUGCAUUUUUGGGGAGCUCCAGAGAGCCUGCUGCUGCUGAAGUGAGAAAUGCUAUCAUCACCGGGGCGUCUGUUUGAAAAGAAAAUGAUGUGGAGAUUCACCAGCGGUCCUCAAAGUCCUCAGUUUAUCUUCCCCUAACAUUUCUCCCACUUUGGAAUUAUGGACCAAAUUCUUUAAGGAAUGCAGGAGGUGGGAGUUCUGGCUUCUGUAACUGCUUCUCUGCUGGGCAUGGACAUUGGCAGAAAUGAACUCCGGCUAACUUAAGUGACAACAGAAAUAGAACUAUUGGGAAGAUGUUGAGAACAACACUAUCUUGAAGCAAAGACUGAAUACUAAGAUCCUCAGGGACAGAGAGAAGUGGAAGGAACUGGUAUGUUUGUUUCUAAGUUGAUGACCCAUUUUGAAUUAGCACUGAUUUCUUAGACCAAUGACUGCUUUUAGGUCUGCCUGGUAGCCUCAGGGUUCCAGCUUGUGAUAGGUUUGGUACUAGAAAGGGGGCAGAGGAGAUGUGAGCAGACAAAAGCAAUAGCCUAGUUGAAGUACUCAACUUACUGGUGGAAAUAGCACAUAUGCACUUAUAAACACAAAAGAAGUCCUAUCAAAGUGAUGACUUUUCUAAGUGUGUUUAAGAAGCCCUGCGUUAGGAAGAUGAUAGUUUGGUGGAAGGUGAGGUAUACUGACACCUCUUGUAAUGAAAUGUGGAAAUCUACUCUGUACACCAAUUCUGUAAAUCAGCAUUUAAUUUAUAAGGUGAUAUUGGAGUAAAGAAAGGUGAUAUUGAAGAAAAGAAAUAAAAAGCACUUGAAUAUGUGGCCUCAGCAAGACACAUGCUCUACCAGGUGAGCUGUCUCUCAGAUAUAUUGAUUUUGUCAUGAUUUUAUGGCAUCCAACACGUGAUUUGUAGGC